AGAGUUUGAUCCUGGCUCAGAUUGAACGCUGGCGGCAUGCUUUACACAUGCAAGUCGGACGGCAGCACAGGGAAGCUUGCUUCUCGGGUGGCGAGUGGCGAACGGGUGAGUAACAUAUCGGAACGUACCGGGUAGCGGGGGAUAACUGAUCGAAAGAUCAGCUAAUACCGCAUACGUCUUGAGAGGGAAAGCAGGGGACCUUCGGGCCUUGCGCUAUCCGAGCGGUCGAUAUCUGAUUAGCUGGUUGGCGGGGUAAAGGCCCACCAAGGCGACGAUCAGUAGCGGGUCUGAGAGGAUGAUCCGCCACACUGGGACUGAGACACGGCCCAGACUCCUACGGGAGGCAGCAGUGGGGAAUUUUGGACAAUGGGCGCAAGCCUGAUCCAGCCAUGCCGCGUGUCUGAAGAAGGCCUUCGGGUUGUAAAGGACUUUUGUCAGGGAAGAAAAGGCCGUUGCCAAUAUCGGCGGCCGAUGACGGUACCUGAAGAAUAAGCACCGGCUAACUACGUGCCAGCAGCCGCGGUAAUACGUAGGGUGCGAGCGUUAAUCGGAAUUACUGGGCGUAAAGCGGGCGCAGACGGUUACUUAAGCAGGAUGUGAAAUCCCCGGGCUCAACCCGGGAACUGCGUUCUGAACUGGGUGACUCGAGUGUGUCAGAGGGAGGUGGAAUUCCACGUGUAGCAGUGAAAUGCGUAGAGAUGUGGAGGAAUACCGAUGGCGAAGGCAGCCUCCUGGGAUAACACUGACGUUCAUGUCCGAAAGCGUGGGUAGCAAACAGGAUUAGAUACCCUGGUAGUCCACGCCCUAAACGAUGUCAAUUAGCUGUUGGGCAACUUGAUUGCUUGGUAGCGUAGCUAACGCGUGAAAUUGACCGCCUGGGGAGUACGGUCGCAAGAUUAAAACUCAAAGGAAUUGACGGGGACCCGCACAAGCGGUGGAUGAUGUGGAUUAAUUCGAUGCAACGCGAAGAACCUUACCUGGUUUUGACAUGUGCGGAAUCCUCCGGAGACGGAGGAGUGCCUUCGGGAGCCGUAACACAGGUGCUGCAUGGCUGUCGUCAGCUCGUGUCGUGAGAUGUUGGGUUAAGUCCCGCAACGAGCGCAACCCUUGUCAUUAGUUGCCAUCAUUCGGUUGGGCACUCUAAUGAGACUGCCGGUGACAAGCCGGAGGAAGGUGGGGAUGACGUCAAGUCCUCAUGGCCCUUAUGACCAGGGCUUCACACGUCAUACAAUGGUCGGUACAGAGGGUAGCCAAGCCGCGAGGCGGAGCCAAUCUCACAAAACCGAUCGUAGUCCGGAUUGCACUCUGCAACUCGAGUGCAUGAAGUCGGAAUCGCUAGUAAUCGCAGGUCAGCAUACUGCGGUGAAUACGUUCCCGGGUCUUGUACACACCGCCCGUCACACCAUGGGAGUGGGGGAUACCAGAAGUAGGUAGGGUAACCGCAAGGAGCCCGCUUACCACGGUAUGCUUCAUGACUGGGGUGAAGUCGUAACAAGGUAGCCGUAGGGGAACCUGCGGCUGGAUCACCU
RNAcentral lists this ribosomal RNA (1529 nucleotides) under Neisseria gonorrhoeae. RNAcentral describes it as "bacterial SSU rRNA". It matches the Rfam family "Bacterial small subunit ribosomal RNA". The record is from RNAcentral. Lineage: Bacteria; Pseudomonadati; Pseudomonadota; Betaproteobacteria; Neisseriales; Neisseriaceae.